This 105-nucleotide small nucleolar RNA is filed under the name Gorilla gorilla gorilla (western lowland gorilla). RNAcentral's name for it is "Small nucleolar RNA U13". It matches the Rfam family "Small nucleolar RNA U13". The record is from Rfam by way of RNAcentral. Lineage: Eukaryota; Metazoa; Chordata; Mammalia; Primates; Hominidae.
AUCCUUUUGGGGUUGAUAGGUGUGAUGAUUGGGUUUCUAUGCCAUGUGUGUGACAUGUGCUUCCCUCAAAGCUUGUUACCACAUCCGUACAGCACCCAUAGGAUG